This 357-nucleotide ribosomal RNA is filed under the name Triticum aestivum (bread wheat). Its description in RNAcentral is "partial small subunit ribosomal RNA". The record is from RNAcentral. Lineage: Eukaryota; Viridiplantae; Streptophyta; Magnoliopsida; Poales; Poaceae.
ACAGCUGCCGAGGACAAGCUUCUUUGCAAGUGUUGGCGAGACAUUGGACAAGACCCAAAGACGGGCGCCGAGCAAAAGCAUUCGACCUUUUGGACACGUGUGCACCGCGAGUUUCAUGAGCGCAAGAAGUUUCCACCUUACCAAUUUGUGAGCACGCGCGGGUGGGUCUCCAUUUCUAAGCGGUGGAGGGUGAUCCAACAAGAGUGCAACAAGUUUUGCGCCACCCUUGAGAGCGUCAAGGCCCGCCCCGUGAGCGGCAUCGGCGUGCAAGACAUAGCAUUUCAAGCUUUGGAGGCAUUCAAGGUUCAACACAAUGGCAAGUGCUUCAACCUCUCCCAUUGCUAUCGUGUCAUCAAG